GACGAACGCUGGCGGCGUGCCUAAUACAUGCAAGUAGAACGCUGAAGGAGGAGCUUGCUUCUCUGGAUGAGUUGCGAACGGGUGAGUAACGCGUAGGUAACCUGCCUGGUAGCGGGGGAUAACUAUUGGAAACGAUAGCUAAUACCGCAUAAUAGCAGUUAUUGCAUGAUAACUGUUUGAAAGGUGCAAUUGCACCACUACCAGAUGGACCUGCGUUGUAUUAGCUAGUUGGUGGGGUAACGGCUCACCAAGGCGACGAUACAUAGCCGACCUGAGAGGGUGAUCGGCCACACUGGGACUGAGACACGGCCCAGACUCCUACGGGAGGCAGCAGUAGGGAAUCUUCGGAAAUGGACGGAAGUCUGACCGAGCAACGCCGCGUGAGUGAAGAAGGUUUUCGGAUCGUAAAGCUCUGUUGUAAGAGAAGAACGAGUGUGAGAGUGGAAAGUUCACACUGUGACGGUAUCUUACCAGAAAGGGACGGCUAACUACGUG
Molecule: ribosomal RNA, 495 nt
Filed under: uncultured bacterium
Lineage: Bacteria
Description: partial 16S ribosomal RNA
Rfam family: Bacterial small subunit ribosomal RNA
Source: RNAcentral